GUACACACGAACGGAGCUGCGCAAGAGUUGGUCUAAAGGAAACCAGCAAACUCACCAACGAAAUGCAAAACCCGUUGUCACUCUCGCGGUAUUAUUUUCUCUCUCUCGUUCAGUCUAAUAGGUACUGUCGCCCUCCCUUUAUCUCCUCAACUUACUUUCGGUUUGGAUGCCUAGAAAACACAUCAGUUAAAAAUUUAACAUUUUUAUGCAGUUGGGUUUUGGUUACGGUAUGGAAUUAUUGAUUUCUCUGUUUCUACGAGGUUUGAUUGGAUUUGGGUGGAGUGAUGGAGGGUUUUUCUCGGCGCCUUUCAUCUUCAAUGCUGAUGGAAGUGAGAAACCACUGUACUGGAAGGCCACGAAUCCCACUUUAUCGCCUCCGCAUCUUCAUGAUUUCCCAGUUUCACACGCAGUGUCUACAAAAGAGACCAUGCUUUAAUAACACCCGAAAGUCAUGUAUUUAGCCCUUUGCCCGACUGGACAAACACAUUGGGAGCAUAUUUAAUCUCUCCUGCAAGGGGUGCACUUUUUGCAUGUACCUGGCAAAGAUGCAAGGUUCCAGUCAUAUUUGAGCUCUUAAAUACUAUUUUUGUAGCCAAAUCGAGCUUGUGAUUUGUCAAGGCAUAGCAUGAAGAUGUCUUUAAGACCCCAACUGCUGCAGACUUAUCAUUUUUGGUGUCUUGUAUGCCAGUCUGGGAAAUCAUAUUUCUGAGUUUAUUCUUGGUUCA
Long non-coding RNA from Tripterygium wilfordii, 725 nucleotides. RefSeq lists it as uncharacterized. The record is from RefSeq and is a predicted model, not a curated record. The transcript has 4 exons. NCBI's taxonomy places the organism in Eukaryota, Viridiplantae, Streptophyta, Magnoliopsida, Celastrales, Celastraceae.